This 403-nucleotide ribosomal RNA is filed under the name uncultured bacterium. Its description in RNAcentral is "partial 16S ribosomal RNA". It matches the Rfam family "Bacterial small subunit ribosomal RNA", at positions 30 to 526 of the family's 1533-position model. The record is from RNAcentral.
AUUGAACGCUGGCGGCAGGCCUAACACAUGCAAGUCGAGCGAGCGGCGGACGGGUGAGUAAUGUAUGGGGACUGCCCGAUAGAGGGGGAUAACUACUGGAAACGGUGGCUAAUACCGCAUACUAUCGGAUAACCCAUAUGGGAUUAGCUAUUAUGUGGGGUAAAGGCGCACCUAGGGGACGAUCUCUAGCUGGUCUGAGAGGAUGAUCAGCCACACUGGGACUGAGACACGGCCCAGUAGCGUACGGAGUCAGUAGGGGGGAAGAUUGCUAAAGGGGCGCAAGCCUGAUGCAUCCAUGCCGCGUGUAGGAGGAAGGCCUUAGGGUUUUAAAGUACUUUCAGCGGGGAGGCGUUACCCUCAGAAGAAGAACCGGCUAACUCCGUUCCAGCAGCCGCGGUAAUAC